AGAGUUUGAUCCUGGCUCAGGAUGAACGCUAGCUACAGGCUUAACACAUGCAAGUCGAGGGGCAGCAUGGUCUUAGCUUGCUAAGGCCGAUGGCGACCGGCGCACGGGUGAGUAACGCGUAUCCAACCUGCCUUACACUCUUGGACAGCCUUCUGAAAGGGAGAUUAAUACAAGAUGUUAUCAUGAGUAAGCAUUUUCGCAUGAUUAAAGGUUUACCGGUGUAAGAUGGGGAUGCGUUCCAUUAGAUAGUAGGCGGGGUAACGGCCCACCAAGCCUUCGAUGGAUAGGGGUUCUGAGAGGAAGGUCCCCCACAUUGGAACUGAGACACGGUCCAAACUCCUACGGGAGGCAGCAGUGAGGAAUAUUGGUCAAUGGACGAGAGUCUGAACCAGCCAAGUAGCGUGAAGGAUGACUGCCCUAUGGGUUGUAAACUUCUUUUAUAAAGGAAUAAAGUCGGGUAUGCAUACCCGUUUGCAUGUACUUUAUGAAUAAGGAUCGGCUAACUCCGUGCCAGCAGCCGCGGUAAUACGGAGGAUCCGAGCGUUAUCCGGAUUUAUUGGGUUUAAAGGGAGCGUAGGCGGGUUGUUAAGUCAGUUGUGAAAGUUUGCGGCUCAACCGUAAAAUUGCAGUUGAUACUGGCGACCUUGAGUGCAACAGAGGUAGGCGGAAUUCGUGGUGUAGCGGUGAAAUGCUUAGAUAUCACGAAGAACUCCGAUUGCGAAGGCAGCUUACUGGAUUGUAACUGACGCUGAUGCUCGAAAGUGUGGGUAUCAAACAGGAUUAGAUACCCUGGUAGUCCACACAGUAAACGAUGAAUACUCGCUGUUGGCGAUAUACAGUCAGCGGCCAAGCGAAAGCAUUAAGUAUUCCACCUGGGGAGUACGCCGGCAACGGUGAAACUCAAAGGAAUUGACGGGGGCCCGCACAAGCGGAGGAACAUGUGGUUUAAUUCGAUGAUACGCGAGGAACCUUACCCGGGCUUAAAUUGCAACUGACUGAACCGGAAACGGUUCUUUCUUCGGACAGUUGUGAAGGUGCUGCAUGGUUGUCGUCAGCUCGUGCCGUGAGGUGUCGGCUUAAGUGCCAUAACGAGCGCAACCCUUAUCGAUAGUUACUAGCAGGUCAUGCUGAGGACUCUAUUGAGACUGCCGUCGUAAGAUGUGAGGAAGGUGGGGAUGACGUCAAAUCAGCACGGCCCUUACGUCCGGGGCUACACACGUGUUACAAUGGGGGGUACAGAAGGCAGCUACACGGCGACGUGGUGCUAAUCCCGAAAGCCUCUCUCAGUUCGGAUUGGAGUCUGCAACCCGACUCCAUGAAGCUGGAUUCGCUAGUAAUCGCGCAUCAGCCACGGCGCGGUGAAUACGUUCCCGGGCCUUGCACUCACAGCCCGUCA
RNAcentral lists this ribosomal RNA (1396 nucleotides) under uncultured bacterium. RNAcentral's name for it is "16S ribosomal RNA". It matches the Rfam family "Bacterial small subunit ribosomal RNA". The record is from RNAcentral.